AAACCAACCGGGAUUGCCUUAGUAACGGCGAGUGAAGCGGCAAAAGCUCAAAUUUGAAAUCUGGUACCUUCGGUGCCCGAGUUGUAAUUUGUAGAAGGUAACUUUGGGGCUGGUCCUUGUCUAUGUUCCUUGGAACAGGACGUCAUAGAGGGUGAGAAUCCCGUGUGGCGAGGAUCCCAGUUCUUUGUAAAGUGCUUUCGAAGAGUCGAGUUGUUUGGGAAUGCAGCUCUAAGUGGGUGGUAAUUCCAUCUAAAGCUAAAUAUUGGCGAGAGACCGAUAGCGAACAAGUACAGUGAUGGAAAGAUGAAAAGAACUUUGAAAAGAGAGUGAAAAAGUACGUGAAAUUGUUGAAAGGGAAGGGCAUUUGAUCAGACAUGGUGUUUUGCGCCCUCUGCUCCUUGUGGGUGGGGGAAUCUCGCAGCUCACUGGGCCAGCAUCAGUUUUGGCGGCAGGAUAAAUCUGCAGGAAUGUAGCUUGCCUCGGUAAGUGUUAUAUCCUGUAGAAAUACUGCCAGCUGGGACUGAGGACUGCGACUUUACGUCAAGGAUGCUGGCAUAAUGGUUAUAUGCCGCCCGUCUUGAANNNACGGACCA
RNAcentral lists this ribosomal RNA (593 nucleotides) under Torulaspora delbrueckii. Its description in RNAcentral is "partial 26S ribosomal RNA". It matches the Rfam family "Eukaryotic large subunit ribosomal RNA", at positions 62 to 668 of the family's 3401-position model. Lineage: Eukaryota; Fungi; Ascomycota; Saccharomycetes; Saccharomycetales; Saccharomycetaceae. The record is from RNAcentral.